Molecule: long non-coding RNA, 1242 nt
Organism: Ictalurus punctatus (channel catfish)
Lineage: Eukaryota; Metazoa; Chordata; Actinopteri; Siluriformes; Ictaluridae
Source: Ensembl
UAUAUAUAAUACACUAUAUUUAUAUAUAUAUAGUAGCAAUGAGAACUGUAUAUGUGUAUAUAUAUAUAGAUCCACUCAAAGUCUUUCCACAACUACUCUCCAAAAACUGUAAGUCUUCUGUUCCACUGGUGGAUCCACAUGAUCACCAUCACCAAUACCAGCAGUUACAUUAACUGUAACUUCAAGCGGCUUACAAAAGAAAUCUCUGUGUGCUGGUUAGCUCCCUGUGAUGUGACAACAGAGCGCAGUGAAAGUUAUAUGUUGUGUAAUGUGUACUGUGCUAUGUUAUUAUAAAUUUGUAUAUUCUACUUUGUACAGUGGUGCUUGAAAGUUUGUGAACCCUUUUAGAAUUUUCUACAUUUCUGCAUAAACAUCACCUAAAACAUCAUCAGCUUUUCAUACAUAUCCUACAAGUAGACAAAGAGAACCCAUUUAAAUAAAUGAGAGAAAAUGUUAUACUUGGUCAUUUAUUUAUUGAGGAAAAUGUUCCAGUAUUACAUAAGUGUGUUAACUCUUCCCACUUAUGGGAAGAGUGUGUGCAGGUCCAAUUGGGACCUAAGAGGGCAUUGAUAAGUUUACUGUGAACACUCUUCCCUUUCUUUUCCCUUGUGAACACACUCUUUGUUCCUCUGUUUACUCUUCCCAACAAGGUCUCCCCGAAUACCAUUUGUGUGCUUUUACAUACCUCCCUGAACAACAUCUGCUCGUAUUCCUAUGACUUCCUGAAAACCGUAUAUUGGGUUGUUCCUCUUACAUUGAUAUGCUUUCUGUUUCAUGCAAAUAUGCCCUUCCACCUAGCCAAUCAAUAGUUAACCCAUUGUCUCUGUUGUGUGUCAAGCAUGAUAUAUACUCUGCGUUUCUUUGAAUAAAUCAUAGCUCUUGCCAUUUUAACAUUGUGUGUCUGUGUGUUAUUUGGCAAACUCUCCCAAGCGCUUGGUGCGGGAAGUGUGUAGCGGGGUGAGGGUGCUGUCUUUCUUGUGUACUUUCAUUUUCUCUGUUCUUAAGAAUUGUAACCCGAAUAUUCUCAAAUCAUAACAUGUUAAAAUAGAAGUUCAAGGAUUUUUUUUUUCUUCUGCUAGCUCAGUUAUAUCAGUAUAAAUUAGAUUUAAUUAUUAAACAAACAAACUGAUCAAAUAAGGAUGACGACAGCAACAAGGUAAAAACAUGGGUUUUUAUGAAGAGAAAUGUACAUUUAAGUAAAUGUUUGUUUGUUCCCACCAAACAGUACAUUCUGAUGAUGUC